GUAAUUAUAGUUUAAACAAAACAUUAGAUUGUGAGUCUAAUAAUAGAAGAUUAAUCUUCUUACUUACC
This 68-nucleotide transfer RNA is filed under the name Trichys fasciculata (long-tailed porcupine). RNAcentral's name for it is "tRNA-His". It matches the Rfam family "tRNA". Rfam says of the family: Transfer RNA (tRNA) molecules are approximately 80 nucleotides in length. Their secondary structure includes four short double-helical elements and three loops (D, anti-codon, and T loops). The record is from RNAcentral. Lineage: Eukaryota; Metazoa; Chordata; Mammalia; Rodentia; Hystricidae.